RNAcentral lists this long non-coding RNA (557 nucleotides) under Bos taurus (domestic cattle). Its description in RNAcentral is "long non-coding RNA NONBTAT004977". Lineage: Eukaryota; Metazoa; Chordata; Mammalia; Artiodactyla; Bovidae. The record is from RNAcentral.
UGGGCCUAAAAAAAUUAUAAGGUAUAGGUUCUGUUAAGUCUAACUUGGGCAGAAAGUUUUACUCCUGAAACUAUUUGCUGCUGAAUUUUAGGGUUAAUAACCAGUUCCAAUAAUCUUAAGAACAAAAUGUAUAAAAAUUAUGCUGAUUAUAACUGAGCUUAAAUUACUAAGAGAAGUGAACUUUCCUGACCUCUAGUAACUCUUCCUUCCUUAGUCAUGCAUGACCUUCUCAGAGAAACAAUUAAUGGAAUAAUUUUUUCACUCACUCAGCCCUUUCUUCUAACUGCCAACUGAAUACCAGAUUUUUCUUUCUUGCCUUGGUCUACUGAAGUGACACCCCCAUCAGUAAAAUAAUUAGUGAAAGCAGCUUUCUGACUCAACAAGCCUAAUCACAAAGAAUGUUUACAUCUGGGCAAAUAAUUCACUCAGCAAGUAAAAUGUGACAGAUGAUGCUGUGUCACAUUUCAACUUCCACUUUCAAAGCUUCUUGUACACAGUAACCAUCUGACUAACAGGAAAAAUAAGAGUGUACUUACUAUUCCAUGUCAAUUACAGUG